Molecule: microRNA, 21 nt
Filed under: Chrysemys picta bellii (western painted turtle)
Lineage: Eukaryota; Metazoa; Chordata; Testudines; Emydidae
Also listed under: 22 other names
Description: Cpi-Mir-10-P1c-v1_3p* (star (passenger))
Source: RNAcentral
AAAUUCGUAUCUAGGGGAAUA